Molecule: ribosomal RNA, 418 nt
Filed under: Salmonella enterica subsp. enterica serovar Hillingdon
Lineage: Bacteria; Pseudomonadati; Pseudomonadota; Gammaproteobacteria; Enterobacterales; Enterobacteriaceae
Description: bacterial SSU rRNA
Rfam family: Bacterial small subunit ribosomal RNA
Source: RNAcentral
UUAAAUUGAAGAGUUUGAUCAUGGCUCAGAUUGAACGCUGGCGGCAGGCCUAACACAUGCAAGUCGAACGGUAACAGGAAGCAGCUUGCUGCUUCGCUGACGAGUGGCGGACGGGUGAGUAAUGUCUGGGAAACUGCCUGAUGGAGGGGGAUAACUACUGGAAACGGUGGCUAAUACCGCAUAACGUCGCAAGACCAAAGAGGGGGACCUUCGGGCCUCUUGCCAUCAGAUGUGCCCAGAUGGGAUUAGCUUGUUGGUGAGGUAACGGCUCACCAAGGCGACGAUCCCUAGCUGGUCUGAGAGGAUGACCAGCCACACUGGAACUGAGACACGGUCCAGACUCCGUACGGGAGGCAGCAGUGGGGAAUAUUGCACAAUGGGCGCAAGCCUGAUGCAGCCAUGCCGCGUGUAUGAAGAA